This 2344-nucleotide long non-coding RNA is filed under the name Homo sapiens (human). RNAcentral describes it as "HSALNT0281923". Lineage: Eukaryota; Metazoa; Chordata; Mammalia; Primates; Hominidae. The record is from RNAcentral.
GGUUACUUUCCUUUUCCCAUUAGGAUCAUCUCCUCCUUGAAUUCCUCUUCUAGCAUAUUUCACCUUUGGUGCCACACAUUGGUCUCAGGACCCACUUUGGAUACCCUUUCGGUGACAUCUCAUUGAGCAGUUCUCAACCCAUGCCGCUUAAAUUUCUAUGUUGUCUGCCCCACAGAUUGCUAUAACUCCUGGUUUGGAGUUCCCUUAUCAACCAUAGAUCCAACCUUGCCCCACCCAAGCUCUUCACCAAGAAGACAGAUUAAACACAAAGCUGAGCUCCUGUAAACUCAGCUUGUGGUAGGCAUGUGAGCAGAACUGGAGCAAGUUCACAUGGCCGUGGGAGAUCUGCAUGGUAGGCUUCUACCUGACAUAGCCUGAGCUUCAGGAAGUCGUGCCUGCUGAGCAUCCUCGAGGGGCCGUGGUUACGCCCACACUAUUGCAUUCCCUGAAAGGCAAACUUCUGUCCUACUUUUUCUGUGACUCACUCGGUGCCUGUUCCCUCUUGGAAUUAACCCAAGGAAAAGAGUCCUCUCAGCAAAACAAAGUUAGCUUGCUUCCUUGUGUGUGGCCUGCUUAUUUUAUUUUUUAGAGCUAUACUUCAGAAGUGCAGAGCAGCCUGAGGGCCCUUUUUCUCCAUUUUAUUUUGUGUGUCUUCUUAAAAAUUGUAUCUUGGCUAGAACUACUCUUUCUUCCUUGGUGGUUUUAUAACUCACAAGGUGAAUGGUGAUACCCUGAAAGAUCAACAGGAAUACCCUCAGGGUGGGAAUAUAAAUCUAGUCCCUCUUACUCUAUCCUGCCCAGAAGUGGAAAUAUGAUCCUUCCAUUAUAAAAUAAAGAAUGGUCCUAAGAUUUGAGAACUCCAAAAGGACUUAGUGUUACGGAAUAAAGGUGAACAACCAUUUGGGACUGUUUAUCUACUUGCUAUCUCUCUUUUGAGAGAGAAUAAUGUCUCAAGAGCUCCAUUCUCUGAUGCCUGCAGUAUGUUAUGAAUCAGUAGAGAAUCUUUCUGUCUGUGCUUGGAUCUUGGAAUUGUAUCCCUAAUAAAGUGCAAGCAAAUAGCUCCAGAAGCCUCAGCUCUGCUUUCUGCUGAACCCAAGUUAUAAAUGAUGUGAACUUGGAAAAGCUCUAAGGCAGCCCAGGAAAAGGCAGACAAGAAACCAUCAUGAAUGGGUGCUGCAUGAGCAGAGAUUGUCAAGAAAAUGGGAUGGUAAUUUGCAUAGGUCCACAAAGCGAACAUUGAUUUGAAGUGUUCCUGUGAAUGGCCAGUAGACAGGAUAUAGAAACAGACAGGAAAUCAUAAAGUGGAGAAUGGUGUAUAAGAUGGAGUUUCAGCCUGGGGAAGUACAUAAAAUAAUGCCAUGUCAAGGUCAUAAGAACUUCGACAGUCAGGGAGAUGACAAAUAGAAAACUGAUUCAUAAAUCCUGAAAUAAAAUAUUACUACCUAAACUCUAAAUCAGAUGGCCACCAGGUCAAAAAUAAAUUACAAGGUGAAUCUAAUGUAGCUAUGUAAUUAAAAAUUGGCCAUGUUGAUGAGGCAAGAAAUUUUGGCAAUAACAGUAAUGAAGGUGUCAGGGCUCAGAAAAUGACAUGCCAAAUUAUGGCACUUUAGUGUGCUGAGUACUUUGAACUAAAGGAGAUUGGAAUGCCUCAGAAGCAAAGCCACUCUAUCCCCCACCUUUCUGUGUAGGUGUAUAGCAGAUGCAUCUGACAGCAAUAACUUAAGCAUACCCUGAGAAAGACCCUCAAGUCUAAGAAGAAUGUGUGUUUGGAGUUCUGAGCUAAGAAAUCCAGGAGUGGCAAACCUAGAGAUUCGCUCCUUGUCUAUGAAGGACAUAUGACCCCCUGGCCCAUGCCUUGGAAUGCAGGCCAUAUAGGGGAUUAAGGUCCUUUGUUUUGGGUUAUAUGGAGGUUGUUAGGUGGAGGGUGGUAGCAGGUUUUCAGUCCAGCCCACCACCACUGUACUGCCCCAUAUGUAAGUCCUCAGUAAACCCUAUGUGUCAUCUGCUGGUUCCGGGUCUCCUCUCUUCUUCCGCUUCUAGGACAUGGUGCUAUCCCUAUUGGAGUCAGUAGGUCUGGCACAACAGUAGGAGCUGGCCAUAAAGAAAUUCUCUGACCUACCUUGUCUGAUAGCAGGUCAUAAGAUCCUUAUUCCAGAGGGGUCCUGCCCCAUACCUGGGAGAAAGGAAUGCUACACAGAGGUCAAGGAGAAGCCAAACAAGCAGGACUUAAUGGGUUUCCCACUCCGUCUAUUGCCAUUAGAUCAUACAUUUUUUGUGUGGAAUCAUAUUUCUACAUGGUUGUCCAUUCUUCAUGAAAACUAAGAAUAAAAGUAGACAAUUUUCC